This 888-nucleotide ribosomal RNA is filed under the name Staphylococcus aureus. RNAcentral's name for it is "partial 23S ribosomal RNA". It matches the Rfam family "Bacterial large subunit ribosomal RNA", at positions 673 to 1561 of the family's 2925-position model. Lineage: Bacteria; Bacillati; Bacillota; Bacilli; Caryophanales; Staphylococcaceae. The record is from RNAcentral.
GAAAGCGAGUCUGAAUAGGGCGUUUAGUAUUUGGUCGUAGACCCGAAACCAGGUGAUCUACCCUUGGUCAGGUUGAAGUUCAGGUAACACUGAAUGGAGGACCGAACCGACUUACGUUGAAAAGUGAGCGGAUGAACUGAGGGUAGCGGAGAAAUUCCAAUCGAACCUGGAGAUAGCUGGUUCUCUCCGAAAUAGCUUUAGGGCUAGCCUCAAGUGAUGAUUAUUGGAGGUAGAGCACUGUUUGGACGAGGGGCCCCUCUCGGGUUACCGAAUUCAGACAAACUCCGAAUGCCAAUUAAUUUAACUUGGGAGUCAGAACAUGGGUGAUAAGGUCCGUGUUCGAAAGGGAAACAGCCCAGACCACCAGCUAAGGUCCCAAAAUAUAUGUUAAGUGGAAAAGGAUGUGGCGUUGCCCAGACAACUAGGAUGUUGGCUUAGAAGCAGCCAUCAUUUAAAGAGUGCGUAAUAGCUCACUAGUCGAGUGACACUGCGCCGAAAAUGUACCGGGGCUAAACAUAUUACCGAAGCUGUGGAUUGUCCUUUGGACAAUGGUAGGAGAGCGUUCUAAGGGCGUUGAAGCAUGAUCGUAAGGACAUGUGGAGCGCUUAGAAGUGAGAAUGCCGGUGUGAGUAGCGAAAGACGGGUGAGAAUCCCGUCCACCGAUUGACUAAGGUUUCCAGAGGAAGGCUCGUCCGCUCUGGGUUAGUCGGGUCCUAAGCUGAGGCCGACAGGCGUAGGCGAUGGAUAACAGGUUGAUAUUCCUGUACCACCUAUAAUCGUUUUAAUCGAUGGGGGGACGCAGUAGGAUAGGCGAAGCGUGCGAUUGGAUUGCACGUCUAAGCAGUAAGGCUGAGUAUUAGGCAAAUCCGGUACUCGUUAAGGCUGAGC